RNAcentral lists this ribosomal RNA (422 nucleotides) under uncultured bacterium. Its description in RNAcentral is "partial 16S ribosomal RNA". It matches the Rfam family "Bacterial small subunit ribosomal RNA", at positions 360 to 774 of the family's 1533-position model. The record is from RNAcentral.
AAUUUUGGACAAUGGGGGAAACCCUGAUCCAGCCAUCCCGCGUGUAUGAUGAAGGCCUUCGGGUUGUAAAGUACUUUUGCCAGGGAAGAAAAGGUAUCUCCUAAUCCGAGUUACUCCUGCCGGUAUCUGCAGAUUAAGCACCGGCUACCUACGUGCCACCAGCCGGGGUAAUACGUAGGGUGCAAGAGUUAAUCGGAAUUACUGGGCGAAAAGCGUGUGUAGGCGGUUCGGAAAGAAAGAUGUGAAAUCCCAGGGCUCAACCUUGGAACUGCAUUUUUAACUGCCGAGCUAGAGUAUGUCAGAGGGGGGUAGAAUUCCACGUGUAGCAGUGAAAUGCGUAGAUAUGUGGAGGAAUACCGAUGGCGAAGGCAGCCCCCUGGGAUAAUACUGACGCUCAGACACGAAAGCGUGGGGAGCAAACA